This is a long non-coding RNA of Frieseomelitta varia, 752 nucleotides long. RefSeq lists it as uncharacterized. The transcript is spliced from 3 exons. The record is from RefSeq and is a predicted model, not a curated record. Lineage: Eukaryota; Metazoa; Arthropoda; Insecta; Hymenoptera; Apidae.
GCGGUGUGCGAGUGUGCCGUGUGCGCCAGUGCGCCCGCAAGCCCGCAAGUUCGCGCUCCGCCACGCAGCCCAAGCUCUCUCUAGCCGCGCGCUGAUCGGCCACGUUCGUCAGCCGGGCCCCACGCAAAAAGGCAGCGGGGCCGCGCGCCAGCCGACUGGACACACUAGACGGACGAAUUUCUUACUUGUAAUUCGUAUAGACAACAACACGCGUACGAGGACGUAUCGGGGCCGGCUUGUGUGCGAGCAAAACGCGUCUCCAAGACAAUUCUUCUCGAAGGAAACCGAUCGUUCUUAUAUGUACUAUAUAUACAUACACAUAGAUAUAUAUAUAUACACACGCACACGCACACACACGCACACACACACGCACACACAUAUGUAAGUAACGUUGUCGGUCGCCGCUCAAGGAAAUCAGUUCGACGACGUGGUGUGACACGUAAAACACGAGUGAAACUCGCUCGAAACACGCGCGCUCCGACCUGAAUCUGAGAACCGCACGACACCACUUGGAAGAAAACCGGGCAGUGACUGUGAACAAACGAACAGGAUAAUCACGGACCCCUUAUCCAGUGCGCUGUUUUCGUGUUGUGAGACACACCGUUUUACGCACGUCCUCGAACGAGUCUUCUUGGGAUCGCCGCGAUUGUAAAGAUUGACGAAUGACGACGUAACAGAGAGCUGGCUGGUGCGCGGAUACCGGGACACAAGAGGGGACAGCAUCUUUCAAAUCGCCACGGCAACGUUUAUCG